GACGAACGCUGGCGGCGUGCCUAAUACAUGCAAGUUGAGCGCUGAAGGUUGGUACUUGUACCGACUGGAUGAGCAGCGAACGGGUGAGUAACGCGUGGGGAAUCUGCCUUUGAGCGGGGGACAACAUUUGGAAACGAAUGCUAAUACCGCAUAAAAACUUUAAACACAAGUUUUAAGUUUGAAAGAUGCAAUUGCAUCACUCAAAGAUGAUCCCGCGUUGUAUUAGCUAGUUGGUGAGGUAAAGGCUCACCAAGGCGAUGAUACAUAGCCGACCUGAGAGGGUGAUCGGCCACAUUGGGACUGAGACACGGCCCAAACUCCUACGGGAGGCAGCAGUAGGGAAUCUUCGGAAAUGGACGAAAGUCUGACCGAGCAACGCCGCGUGAGUGAAGAAGGUUUUCGGAUCGUAAAACUCUGUUGGUAGAGAAGAACGUUGGUGAGAGUGGAAAGCUCAUCAAGUGACGGUAACUACACAGAAAGGGACGGCUAACUACGUG
RNAcentral lists this ribosomal RNA (497 nucleotides) under uncultured bacterium. Its description in RNAcentral is "partial 16S ribosomal RNA". It matches the Rfam family "Bacterial small subunit ribosomal RNA", at positions 28 to 507 of the family's 1533-position model. The record is from RNAcentral.